AUUGAACGCUGGCGGCAGGCCUAACACAUGCAAGUCGAGCGGAUGACGGGAGCUUGCUCCUUGAUUCAGCGGCGGACGGGUGAGUAAUGCCUAGGAAUCUGCCUGGUAGUGGGGGACAACGUUUCGAAAGGAACGCUAAUACCGCAUACGUCCUACGGGAGAAAGCAGGGGACCUUCGGGCCUUGCGCUAUCAGAUGAGCCUAGGUCGGAUUAGCUAGUUGGUGAGGUAAUGGCUCACCAAGGCGACGAUCCGUAACUGGUCUGAGAGGAUGAGCAGUCACACUGGAACUGAGACACGGUCCAGGCUCCUACGGGAGGCAGCAGUGGGGAAUAUUGGACAAUGGGCGAAAGCCUGAUCCAGCCAUGCCGCGUGUGUGAAGAAGGUCUUCGGAUUGUAAAGCACUUUAAGUUGGGAGGAAGGGCAGUAAGUUAAUACCUUGCUGCUUUGACGUUACCGACAGAAUAAGCACCGGCUAACUCUGUGCCAGCCGCCGCAGUAA
RNAcentral lists this ribosomal RNA (500 nucleotides) under uncultured bacterium. RNAcentral describes it as "partial 16S ribosomal RNA". It matches the Rfam family "Bacterial small subunit ribosomal RNA", at positions 30 to 523 of the family's 1533-position model. The record is from RNAcentral.